This 111-nucleotide transfer RNA is filed under the name Heterobasidion irregulare TC 32-1. It matches the Rfam family "tRNA". Rfam says of the family: Transfer RNA (tRNA) molecules are approximately 80 nucleotides in length. Their secondary structure includes four short double-helical elements and three loops (D, anti-codon, and T loops). Lineage: Eukaryota; Fungi; Basidiomycota; Agaricomycetes; Russulales; Bondarzewiaceae. The record is from Rfam by way of RNAcentral.
GGCACUAUGGCCGAGCGGUCUAUGGCGUGUGACUCAAGCGAAAUGCUUGCCUGCGCACAGCGGGUUUCUCAUCUCCGUAAGGGGGCGUGGGUUCGAAUCCCACUGGUGUCA